UCCCCCUACUUCCCCUUCCCCUUUGAAUAUUUUCUUCCUGUUUCACAGUAUCUGUUAAACAUUUUUGUCCUCAUUUACACUUUCAGUUUCUCACACCAGAGAAACAAUACCAAAUUGUUGGUAUUUAGUAAUUUUUCUGACUUUACACAGGUUGCAAAAGUAUGACUAAAAUCUUUUCUUGAGAUCUUGGUGCCCACUCUCUUGGCUAAUAGACAUACAGCCUCUGCUGUGGAGGCCUUUGGUAAGUUAGCUUAAUUUACAUCCCAGAAAGCUUUGCAAUGUUUUUCUUCCCAUUUGUCUUCUUCCUAGUCACUCAUCUUGACCUACUCUUUAAUCUCUCCAUGUAGGUUAAAGUCAAUUAGAAAGGUGACAUGAAUUGCAAACUCUGUAGUUGCAUCCAUAUUUCCUAAUGGUACUUCAUAUCCACCUAUGUAAUUCUUCCAUUCUUAUACUCAGGCAUUUAUUCACUGAGAAUACAAAGAUGAGUUGACCUACUCAUUGCUCUUUUGAGUUAAAGGUUCCUGUUUCUGAGGCUUGGGAACAAAGCAGGCUGGCACUGAUGUCUACUCAUUUUCUAUUGCUGUCAUUGGAUAUUUUCAUCCCUUACUUAAGGCCUGACAGAUCCCUGUAACCUAUUUCUGCUCACCAAGUUUUACCCUUCAUUGGAUAACUCAAAUUGUGUCUAUGAAAGAGCAAAACAUUCAGAGACAAAAAUAGGUAAAGCUUUGAAUUCAGAAAUGUAAAAAUUCUAGACUGGAAGAUGGCCAGGAACCAUGAAGUUCAUAAGUAAUAGCCGAAGGCACAGCAAGUACCUUGGUAUAUGUAUGUCUCCAGGAGUGUUCAGAAUUAGACACUUAAUUUGAAACAAGUACUGUUCUAUCCACACAGCUGGAAGAAGUAUGAAAUCAAGGACCUGAUCUGUCCUAUGCCUCCUGCAAGCAGAAUGAUGUUAAUCAGCAAAUGAUACUGUGGGUUCCAGUUCUCUUCAGACCUUUCCUUUGGAAGGACUCUGCAGAAUUGAUCAAUGCCCUAAAGAUGCAAAAUAUGAGGAACAAAAGGUUGGAAAACUUCCACAAGUAUCAGAAAUGUGAUUCAAACCCAGGGAAUCUGAUUGAUAUUUUAACCAUUAAAUUUAAACCAACAUGGAUUAUGUAAAGGUGCAAAUUUCCAAUGAUGAAUAUCAUUAUAUUGUAUACUGAAAGUGUACCAAUAAAAUUAAUUUAAAAAAUUUAAUGACCUCACCUAACAAAAGUGCUAAGUGUCUAUUGUUAAACACCAAAAUAAGACUUUAACUCUUUAGAAAAUACUAAUAAAAUUUGUUAGGUAAGAGGCCCAAAGUUGGUUACCUGACCUAAAUAAAAGAGAGAAGGAAGAGUUUCCAAAAGGAUGAAUUAAACAUGGAGCAUCAGAUAUGAGGCAAGUGGAGGAUAGAUCGAGACAAAUCAGAAAAGAGUCUUACCAAAUAGCUUGAAUUUCCUUUUGUGUAGAGUAGAUUACAUCAGUCAGCUUUCUAUUGCUUUGAUAAAAUACCACAGUCAAUCAACUUAAAAAGAAGAAAGAUCUUUUUUAGCUCUCAGCAUUCCUGGUUUCAGCCCACAAUCUGUUGACCCAUUGUGAUACUUACCUCAUAGCAGACAGAAAGCAAAAGAAAGAGGAGAGGCUGGGGUCCCAAUAUCCCCAGUGAUCUAAAACUGCCCACUAAGUUCUACCUCCCAAAGAUUCCACCACCUCCCAGUAGCUCUACAGGCUGAUGACUAAGCCUUUAGCACGCCAGCCUUUGAAGGACACUGAAGGUUCACACUAUGACACUGGCCUUAAGCAAGGAGUGAUUAGUCAAGAGUUUUGUGAAGAUUGCUGAGCAUAUAAGUGAAGAUGAUCCGAGGACACAACUCACAGGGAUGAGAGCUGCCAGGAGACUGAUAGUCCAGAGCAAGAGCUGCUACUGAGGAUGAUGGUGGCGAUCUUAGUCUGUUUGUACUGCUAUAAGAAAAUGCUACUGACUGGGUAAGUCAUAGACAAGGGAAAUUUAUUUGUUGUAAUUCUAUGGGCUGGAGUGUCCCAGAUUAAACCACUGGCAAUGGUGUCUUACAGGGGCAGCUUUUUUCUUCCAAGCAGCUUUUCUUAUAGCAGCACCUUGUUUCUAUCUUCACAUGGUAGAAAAUAGAAGAGCAAGAAAGCUAAAUGCUGAAGCCUUUUUAUAAAGUUAUUAAUUUCAUUCUGUAGAAUUCUACCCUCAUGCCUUAAUCACCUCCUAAAGGCCACAUCUCUUUAUACUAUCAUAUUGGUGAUCAAAUUUUAACAUAUGAUUUUUGAAGGAGACACAUACAUUCAAACCAUAACAAUAACAAUGAUGAUGAUCCUCAGAGAGGCUCAAACUAGGCAUCAGUAUUUCUGCCAUGGCCUAAUAUGGAACAUUCUCUGCACACCACACUGAAUUCUCAUUAUUCACUCAACUUCCAGCAUACACCAAGUAUCACCCAUAUAUCCUGUUUUGGAUAAGUGAAUUGCAAAUCAAGCCUGUAUUUCUUACAUUCAAAUGGGGCUGGCAUCAUCUUAUGCUGCAAUAAGUGAUGGUAAAGGGAUUUUGAUAUUUAGAUUGAAUUCUAAUAUUGCUUUGAUUACUAGCAUUAUUAAACCUCUAUUAAUAUACUUCAUUAAUUGUAUGAAUAAGGGAAAUACAAAGGCCAGAACAUGUUAGAAAAGAAAGGCAUCCAUACCUUUUCUGGGGUUAUUGUUGCUUAUCUUCUGAAGAACAAAUGGAUAUUUUAUUAUAAGCCUAGGAGGUAUUUAAAUGAAUGUUUUUUUCUUCUUUUGGCAGAGACCACUAUAUUUUCAUUUUUGUCUGAAACAAGCUUUAUUUAUUUAUUAUUUAUUUUUUAAUUUGCAAACUAGCCAGUCUCUGUCCUUGGUUCACUUCCUUGGAUGUUCCAUGGAAGUCAGUGGGAUGUGGAAUAAUUAGCUAACAGCUGAGACUGGCUGUGUUCCUAUGUGAUUAUUAUGGUAGGAGGCCAGACAGAACAAAGAGCUGCUUUUGUAUGAACAAUUUCUCUACAGCGUGAAUUUUAAAGGGGCUGCUUGGAGGAAAUGAUGACUCUAGCAGAUCUGUCUGGUCCUCCCUUUCCACUUUCUCCUGCCAAGCAGCCUAUUUUAUAGAUAGCUGGGAGAAAGACAACUAUAAAAAGACUGUACGAGGUGAGUGCAUGUGUAUAUGUAUGUGUAUGCUCUUUAGUGUGUUUGUGUCUGUGUGUAUGCAAUGUGUGGUGUAUGUGUAUAGUGUUUACAUCUGUGUAUAUAUUCAAGUUCAGGGCAAAAUAAGAAUGGCAAGGGAAUUCAAUGACACAGUUUCCCUUUACCUCCUUAGGUAAGCCACACAGCAGCUAAGUGUCUCAAAUUCAGCACAUUUCUCCUGGUUAGCAGUUGAUGCACCUGCGUCCCCCAGUGUACUAUAUGUGACCAGAGCACAUGAUCUAUGUAUUCUCAGUCUAUGCCCAGUGUGGUAUUCGGCACAGGAGAUCACAGUUGGUCGAAUUGACUAUGAUCAAAUCAAUCCCUAUUGAUUUGCAGUAGUUGCUUCUGCUCAUCUUACUUUGUUGCUCCAGAAAAUUCUCUCAAGCAUGGAAACAUGGUUGUUUUUAGUACUUAAGGUAGAUUCAAUGUUAAUAUGUGAGUCUUUAAUCACUGAUGAAUAGCAGUUCAUAUAAAAAACAUUCAGAUUGUUUGUAAGAAUAUUUAAACAUUUUUAAAUUUGUUAGAAUUCAAACAACUAGAAAUUUGAAACUCACUGGAAAUAUAAAAUAGUACAGUGAAAUGCUGUAUCAUCUGUUAAGGUUUCAAUAGUAAGUAUUCCUCAAACACUCAUGUAUUCAAGUCUUGGUCUCCAAUGCAGCAGUGUUCAAAGAUGGGGACUAGAGAGGUGACUGAUCAUGAGGGCACUAAUGCCAUCAGUGGAUUAAUCCUUUGAUGAGCUAGCAGAUUGGGCUGUUAGGAGUUGGGGCUCAAUUGGAGGAAAUAGCUCCCUGGAGGCAUGGGUUUUCAGAGAAUAUCUUAUCCCUGAUCUUUUCCUCCCCUGAUCCCUUGCUUUCUCUCUGCUUCCUGGCUGCCAUGAGGUGAGCAGCUCUCCUCCACCUUGCCCUUCUGCCAUGUUGUUCUGCCUCACCUCAGACCCUCAGCAAUGCAAUCAGCUAACUAUGGGCUGACAUGUCUGAAAAUAUGACCCAAAAUAAAUCUUUCCUCCUUUAGGUUGUAUAUGUCAUAUUUUCCCAGCAGUGGAAAGGUGACUAAAAUUCAUCCAUCAAAAUGCCAAGAAAAAACAAUGCCAAGAAUAAAAAAACAAAACAAAACAUGUACUCGUAGCUCUCAGAGAGGCUGAUGCAAGAAGAUCGCAAGUUGAAGCUUAGCCUAAACAAUUUAGCGGUGUGGUGAUUUGUAAUAAUGGAGAGAACAGCUGACUCCAGCCUUGAUUUUUUUGAAUUAAGGCAUAUUUUUAUUAACUUGUGCCUGAUAAAACAGCUACAAUUUGGCACUACUGUGAAUCUUUUCUUCUUAGAGAUUCUGUUAACAAAUUGGGUUGGACAUACCUCUUUCCUAAAGGGAGGUUUCAAAUAUUUAUGGGCUUUCUGUGUAUUUGUGCAUUUCUUUACUUGACUUUCCAUUAUUUGUGCAUUUCUUUACGUGACUUUCCAUUAUUUGUGCAUCCAUUUUUAUAUACUCUUAAAAAUCAAAUAUCUUUUGUAAAGAUUGGUCUUUAUUUUCAGACAUGGAUUUGUCCUUUAUAGUUUUAUUGAGUACAGUUGGUCAAAGGUGAUUGUAUUUGAUUUUAACCUUGCUACGUGGACAGUUAUGAUAGGGUUGUCUCUAUAACUUUAAGAAUAAUCAUUUUUACCACAUCAAUCUCUCUUUUCAGUCUAGAAAUGUCACACUAGAUCCUAUUGUGGAAAAGGUAUAUGGCAUGAUUGAAAUAUAGAGAGACUUGGAUUUAAAUCUUGGAUUAUUUUUGUUUCUAUUGCAAUAAAAUAAACCAUUUUAAAAUGAGACCAAGCAUGAAGCAAUACAUAUAGAAGUAUCUAGGAAGGUACUCAAUAAAAGUUAACUCCAUUAUUUUUGGCUUCUCAUUGUCUUUCCUUGCUCUGUUUUA
Molecule: non-coding RNA, 5134 nt
Organism: Heterocephalus glaber (naked mole-rat)
Lineage: Eukaryota; Metazoa; Chordata; Mammalia; Rodentia; Bathyergidae
Source: RefSeq, a predicted model, not a curated record